GUGCCAGACUCCUACGGGAGGCAGCAGUGGGGAAUAUUGCACAAUGGGGGAAACCCUGAUGCAGCGACGCCGCGUGAGUGAAGAAGUAAUUCGUUAUGUAAAGCUCUAUCAGCAGGGAAGAAAAUGAUGGUACCUGAGUAAGAAGCCCCGGCUAACUACGUGCCAGCAGCCGCGGUAAUACGUAGGGGGCAAGCGUUAUCCGGAUUUACUGGGUGUAAAGGGAGCGUAGACGGCAGUGCAAGUCUGGAGUGAAAGGCGGGGGCUCAACCCCCGGACUGCUCUGGAAACUGUACGGCUGGAGUGCAGGAGAGGAUAGUGGAAUUCCAGGUGUAGGAGUGAAAUCCGUAGAUAUCUGGAGGAACAUCAGUGGCGAAGGCGACUAUCUGGCACAUAACUGACGCUGAGGAGCGAAAGCGUGGGUAGCAAACAGGAUUAGAUACCCGAGUA
This 447-nucleotide ribosomal RNA is filed under the name uncultured bacterium. Its description in RNAcentral is "bacterial SSU rRNA". It matches the Rfam family "Bacterial small subunit ribosomal RNA", at positions 328 to 792 of the family's 1533-position model. The record is from RNAcentral.